GCACCAAUUCCACCUGCAAUACAGGCCCCAUAGAAUGCAAUGGCAGAAGGAAGGGAUCUUCUAGGAAGAAAAUAAUAAUCUGGAAUUUGCCUAAUUUUUGUUGGACGCCUUUUCUUUAUAAUGUUUGUAGCGCUGGGAUUUUUCUGCAUAUCCCCACCCACGGCUUUCCAGUCCACUCCCUUAAAAGGGUCUUUUUGCUCUUCUCCCAUCGCUAUCUCUAGGUUGCCUCUAACUCAACUCUUACAGCCUUCAACCAGAUCGAGGCAGGUAGACGAAAUAGGAAAAUAUACGCUCUGGAGCGACAGCGGCGUGCGGCGGGAAGGGCAGUGGCCGGUAAUGGGAGGGCGGAGGUGGC
RNAcentral lists this unclassified non-coding RNA (355 nucleotides) under Hevea brasiliensis (rubber tree). The record is from RNAcentral. Lineage: Eukaryota; Viridiplantae; Streptophyta; Magnoliopsida; Malpighiales; Euphorbiaceae.